Non-coding RNA from Pelobates cultripes (western spadefoot toad), 295 nucleotides. Lineage: Eukaryota; Metazoa; Chordata; Amphibia; Anura; Pelobatidae. The record is from the annotation of a GenBank genome assembly.
GUCAGCUGGAGUGCUUGGAGCCCUCAGGAAGCACUAGGAGCAUCCUUCAAUGGAGGUACACAGUCGGGGUGCCAUGUGAUCCGUUACAAUAGUCAAUAGUUAAAAUGAGAGGUGUAGAUAUGAUAUAAAAGGUGCACAUUGCAUAAUACUGUUGGGGGAUAUCAGUAGAUAAAACAUAUGUAUAGACGUUACUCACAUGAUGGCUGUAGGAAGUUGAUAGAAUGAAGAGAGCUGUCAUUCAAUAUAAUUAAAUGAAAAAGCAUGCAAUACUUUACAAUUAAAUAAACAAGAAAUC